This 429-nucleotide ribosomal RNA is filed under the name Actinomycetes bacterium. RNAcentral's name for it is "Actinobacteria bacterium partial 16S ribosomal RNA". It matches the Rfam family "Bacterial small subunit ribosomal RNA", at positions 355 to 776 of the family's 1533-position model. The record is from RNAcentral. Lineage: Bacteria; Bacillati; Actinomycetota; Actinomycetes.
UAGGGAAUCUUCCGCAAUGGGCGAAAGCCUGACGGAGCAACGCCGCGUGAGUGAUGAAGGUCUUCGGAUCGUAAAACUCUGUUAUUAGGGAAGAACAAAUGUGUAAGUAACUAUGCACGUCUUGACGGUACCUAAUCAGAAAGCAACGGCUAACUACGUGCCAUCAGCCGCGGUAAUACGUAGGUGGCAAGCGUUAUCCGGAAUUAUUGGGCGUAAAGCGCGCGUAGGCGGUUUUUUAAGUCUGAUGUGAAAGCCCACGGCUCAACCGUGGAGGGUCAUUGGAAACUGGAAAACUUGAGUGCAGAAGAGGAAAGUGGAAUUCCAUGUGUAGCGGUGAAAUGCGCAGAGAUAUGGAGGAACACCAGUGGCGAAGGCGACUUUCUGGUCUGUAACUGACGCUGAUGUGCGAAAGCGUGGGGAUCAAACAGG